RNAcentral lists this long non-coding RNA (217 nucleotides) under Takifugu rubripes (torafugu). RNAcentral describes it as "lncRNA (ENSTRUG00000028601.1)". Lineage: Eukaryota; Metazoa; Chordata; Actinopteri; Tetraodontiformes; Tetraodontidae. The record is from RNAcentral.
CAUGACAGCACUGGUCGGCUGUCUGGGCUCCCAGUCUGCAAAUCCAAACAUGAAGGUCAGGACCUUGCGUCCAAACAACUGGCAACAAAACGCUGACUUCAUAAAGUGUCCAAACAACUGACAACAAAAAGUUAAGUAUCAAAAUGUGGUUGUGAUGGGCCUAAUGCGGCCCAGCCUCACCCAGACUCUGCCUCCAGCGGCCCCCAGGUAAAUUGAG